GUGAAGGAGGCUAAGAGAACAAAGGAAAUAAGGCUGGUCUUUGGAACAAUGGUGUUUUUCUCCCCAUCAGAAAAAGCAGGAAUUACAUGGCUGGAAGCUGUUGCUGAAAUGGUUUUUGUUAGACAAUGUAAUCUUCAUCUCAUAAAUUUCAGUGAUGCUCCAAGACCAUCUCAAACUGGCUUCAGCUUCCAAUCUUCAUUCAGCAUGGUAAGUCUGCAUUAUGCUUCCAAUAUUAUGCGUGCCUCAUAGCAUUCCUUGAUAUCUGUUCACAAACCAGCAGAGAUAUCUACAGAAUAAAUC
Ahaetulla prasina is the source of this 300-nucleotide long non-coding RNA. RefSeq lists it as uncharacterized. The transcript is spliced from 3 exons. NCBI's taxonomy places the organism in Eukaryota, Metazoa, Chordata, Lepidosauria, Squamata, Colubridae. The record is from RefSeq and is a predicted model, not a curated record.